RNAcentral lists this ribosomal RNA (572 nucleotides) under uncultured bacterium. RNAcentral describes it as "bacterial SSU rRNA". The stretch from base 1 to 513 matches the Rfam family "Bacterial small subunit ribosomal RNA", at positions 338 to 873 of the family's 1533-position model. The record is from RNAcentral.
CCUACGGGAGGCAGCAGUGGGGAAUCUUGCACAAUGGAGGAAACUCUGAUGCAGCGAUGCCGCGUGAGUGAAGAAGGCCUUUGGGUUGUAAAGCUCUUUUGUAGGGGAAGAUAAUGACUGUACCCUAAGAAUAAGGUCCGGCUAACUUCGUGCCAGCAGCCGCGGUAAUACGAAGGGACCUAGCGUAGUUCGGAAUUACUGGGCGUAAAGCGCGCGUAGGCCGUUGAGUUAGUUAAUUGUGAAAUCCCAAAGCUUAACUUUGGAACUGCAAUUAAAACUGCUCGACUAGAGUUUGAUAGAGGAAAGCGGAAUACAUAGUGUAGAGGUGAAAUUCGUAGAUAUUAUGUAGAACACCAGUUGCGAAGGCGGCUUUCUGGAUCAACACUGACGCUGAGGCGCGAAAGUAUGGGUAGCAAAGAGGAUUAGAUACCCUCGUAGUCCAUACCAUAAACGAUGAUUGCUAGAUGUUGGAAAUUUAUUUCAGUAUCGCAGCUAACGCAUUAANANAUCGCNGGNGACGACGCAGUAACUACAAGAGUAGAGCGNGAGAGNGCGAGACGACACGAGGAGAG